This 313-nucleotide ribosomal RNA is filed under the name uncultured bacterium. Its description in RNAcentral is "bacterial SSU rRNA". It matches the Rfam family "Bacterial small subunit ribosomal RNA", at positions 30 to 347 of the family's 1533-position model. The record is from RNAcentral.
CCUGAACGCUGGCGGCGUGGCUAAGACAUGCAAGUCGAACGGGUGUAGCAAUACACCAGUGGCGGACGGGUGAGUAAUGUAUCGCUAACGUGCCCUGGAAUCUGAGAUAGCCAAUCGAAAGGUUGGGUAAUACCAGAUGAAAUAUCCUUAUCGCAUGAUGAGGAUCUCAAAGGAGCAAUCCGGUCUGGGAGCGGGCGAUAUCGUAUCAGCUAGUUGGUGAGGUAACGGCUCACCAAGGCGACGACGCGUAGCCGGGCUGAGAGGUCGGCCGGCCACAUUGGGACUGAGACACUGCCCAGACUCCGUACGGGGG